This is a long non-coding RNA of Danio aesculapii, 569 nucleotides long. RefSeq lists it as uncharacterized. The record is from RefSeq and is a predicted model, not a curated record. NCBI's taxonomy places the organism in Eukaryota, Metazoa, Chordata, Actinopteri, Cypriniformes, Danionidae. The transcript is spliced from 2 exons.
UAGACACCCAGACAAUAUAAUGCAUCUAUUAGGUAGGUUAAUAAAUAGCUCAAUGUCAAGUGCCAAAUAAGUCAAGAUGUGGUCGUCAGCGCCCUCUUGUGGACAAUGAAUCAGUGUUGUUCAGAUCAUGAGCUCGUGGUGUUCAGUCGCAGAUGACUUCUGUUGGAAUGGAUCUACACUGAUGUCUGUUUUAGUACUCCAGUCCUGGGGACCAACAGAUCUCCACAUUUUACAUGUCUCUCUUAUCAAAUACACACAGGUUCCUGAAAACAGGUUGUGAAUCAGGCCCCGUAUUCACAGAAUCUUUUAUCUUCUCCUCAACAUCAGAAAAAAAUUUAAGCUAAGAGUUUCUUUUACAACUUAUUCACAAAGCUGCAGAUUUAAAGGUUUAAGCUAAGAAUGAGGGCGGGUUCAGCUCAUUGCUAUGGAUGAUGUCAGCAUGCUUAUUAACUAUGCACACAGUGACUGGAUGAUAAGCAGGUGAGGAGUCUCUGUCAGAAAUGUGUUGAUAGACACUUUGCAGAGGACAAUAUCAUGUAGCCAUGUUCAAAUAAAGGUUUUAAAAUGCA